GAUUCAUUAACUUUGUCCCGACCAACCUGCCCCAUGCAGUGACCUGUGACAUUAAAUUCAGGAACUACCUCAUCCCGAAGGGAACAAAAGUGUUAACAUCACUGACAUCAGUGCUGCAUGACAGCAAGGAGUUCCCCAACCCAGAGAUGUUUGACCCUGGCCACUUUCUAGAUGAGAAUGGAAACUUUAAGAAAAGUGACUACUUUUUGCCUUUCUCAGCAGGUAAUAGAAACUCAUUUUUAUGGUUUCAGUGACAUGAAGAUCUGUGGAGACUUACACAGUGGCUCCCAAUUCCUGAGAGACUUGCAAUUUAUACACAAUUGAAAGCAUACUUAUCCAUGUCUCAGUGUCAUCCUAGAAGGCAAACUUCAUUUACAAUUUACUAUCUCACUACAGAAUUGAGGGAAUCAUAAUUUAAA
RNAcentral lists this long non-coding RNA (419 nucleotides) under Rattus norvegicus (Norway rat). Its description in RNAcentral is "long non-coding RNA NONRATT002905". The record is from RNAcentral. Lineage: Eukaryota; Metazoa; Chordata; Mammalia; Rodentia; Muridae.